Molecule: ribosomal RNA, 866 nt
Filed under: uncultured Methanosaeta sp.
Lineage: Archaea; Methanobacteriati; Methanobacteriota; Methanomicrobia; Methanotrichales; Methanotrichaceae
Description: bacterial SSU rRNA
Rfam family: Archaeal small subunit ribosomal RNA
Source: RNAcentral
UUCUGGUUGAUCCUGCCGGAGGUUACCGCUAUCGAGGUUCGACUAAGCCAUGCGAGUCGAAUGUAGCAAUACAUGGCGUACUGCUCAGUAACACGUGGAUAACCUACCCUUGAGACGGGGAUAAACCCGGGAAACUGGGUAUAAUACCCGAUAGAUCUCGACUGCUGGAAUGCAUCGAGCUCUAAAGCUCCGGCGCUCAAGGAUGGGUCUGCGGCCUAUCAGGUAGUAGUGGGUGUAGCGUACCUACUAGCCUACGACGGGUACGGGUUGUGAGAGCAAGAGCCCGGAGAUGGAUUCUGAGACACGAAUCCAGGCCCUACGGGGUGCAGCAGGCGCGAAAACUUUACAAUGCUGGAAACAGCGAUAAGGGGACCUCGAGUGCCAGGUUACAAAUCUGGCUGUCGUGAUGCCUAAAAAGCAUUGCAUAGCAAGGGCCGGGCAAGACCGGUGCCAGCCGCCGCGGUAACACCGGCGGCUCGGGUGGUAACCGUUAUUAUUGGGUCUAAAGGGUCUGUAGCCGGCCGGAUAAGUCUCUUGGGAAAUCUGGCAGCUUAACUGUCAGGCUUUCAGGAGAUACUGUCUGGCUCGAGGCCGGGAGAGGUGAGAGGUACUUCAGGGGUAGGGGUGAAAUCUUGUAAUCCUUGAAGGACCACCAGUGGCGAAGGCGUCUCUCCAGAACGGACCUGACGGCAAGGGACGAAAGCUAGGGGCACGAACCGGAUUAGAUACCCGGGUAGUCCUAGCCGUAAACGAUACUCGCUAGGUGUCGGCCACGGUGCGACCGUUGUCGGUGCCGUAGGGAAGCCGUGAAGCGAGCCACCUGGGAAGUACGGCCGCAAGGCUGAAACUUAAAGGAAUUGGCGGGA